This is a long non-coding RNA of Molossus molossus (Pallas's mastiff bat), 884 nucleotides long. RefSeq lists it as uncharacterized. The transcript is spliced from 3 exons. NCBI's taxonomy places the organism in Eukaryota, Metazoa, Chordata, Mammalia, Chiroptera, Molossidae. The record is from RefSeq and is a predicted model, not a curated record.
GAAUGAUAAACAGACCAGCACGUGGAGAAGCCUACCCGUCUUGAACAGGACAUCUGGUUAACUGCGGUCGCAAGCAUUUAGAGGCGGUGAUAACAGAAAUUCAGUCCCAUUUAACGCUCCAAACUUUAUGACCGUAGUUUUCAAAUUAACUGGCAGAGUGGAGCGCCUCGACAGCUGGCAUGGCAGCCCAGUCCUCCCAUCACUUCUAACUACAGCUGUAAUAAGACUGUAGACUUGUGUGGGCCUCUGCAGUUUACAGUUCUUGGUGCUCCCCAUGGUGUCUGGACUGAACGACGUUUACUGACUAACUCUGCACAGGAUGCUUUCCGGAGGAGUGUUGUUUAGUCCUCACAAGGCUGGAGAAACAGGGUUACAGCCGCGGUUACUUCCAUCAGAACUUCUCCUGAGGAAGUUCUGAGAUGUCGUCACGGUCGAGAUUCGUCGGGCACUGGCCGUCUCCUAAGCACUGUGAAACAUCAACCUGUUUAAUUCCCAGGAUUUCUUAACAAGGAACCCAGGCCAGGAGACACCUUCAGAAACAAGACAAGUCAAAGGCCUCUGGGUGGAGAUAUCAACCACUUGGAAACAAACCACCAGGUACAUUUCUAUCAAGAAACUUACUACUGACAACCCACCUGGCAGAUCAGUUUAGGUAAACCCCAUGGACCACGUGCAAGAGCUCUGAAUUAGAAAUGGAUGUGCAGUGCCCAGCUCAGUGGACUGAGUGUCGUCCCAUGGACUGAGAGGUCCUGGUUCAAAUCCUGGUCAAGGCAGAUGCUCAGGGUUGUGGACCUGAACCCCAGGAGGGGGCGUGUAGGAAGCAGCCGAUCGAUGUUUCUCUCUCACAUUGAUGUUUCUAUUUCUCUCUCCCUUCCUAUCUCUCU